RNAcentral lists this long non-coding RNA (176 nucleotides) under Chrysolophus pictus (golden pheasant). RNAcentral describes it as "lncRNA (ENSCPIG00010003448.1)". The record is from RNAcentral. Lineage: Eukaryota; Metazoa; Chordata; Aves; Galliformes; Phasianidae.
AAGCUCAGUGAAAAGAGACAGAAAUGCAGUGCAUCAGCAUUAGGAACAAUAAACAUAAAUCAGAAGUAGUUCCAUUGCUGCCACCUGGCUUCACUCCACAACUCCAGGGCUGGGAAACAUCAGAAGCGAUUUCUCCAGGGACCCAUUCCAGAACUCAAAUUAGCAAUGAACCAUAA